GAUUAUCUUGUUUCACAGAAGAGAAGGAAGACCAAGGAAAUGAUUUGCUCAGGAUGAGAAAUGAAGAUGGUCAUCUUGUGCUCAAGCAAACAGAAGUCCUCUGAUGAUCUCAUCAACCAAAUGAGGGGUUUUGACCAAGUGAUGCUCUUGAAAGGAGUGAAAGAAGAGGAUGUGGUAAAUUGUCUUCAGAGAAAAAGCUUCUCAAAAGAUCUUAAAACAGCUUGAAGAAUGGUCUGGGAUCUUAGGACUGGGAGAUCUCACUUGCACCCAGUUAACCUCCAUAGAGAACAUUUAUCAGAAGCGCUGUCUGGGUAGGGCAAGAAACAUCAUCAAGGAUGCCUCUCACCCUAACCAUGGACCUUUCACCCUCCUUCCAUCCGGCAGGCGUUA
This is a long non-coding RNA of Carassius gibelio (silver crucian carp), 390 nucleotides long. RefSeq lists it as uncharacterized. The record is from RefSeq and is a predicted model, not a curated record. Lineage: Eukaryota; Metazoa; Chordata; Actinopteri; Cypriniformes; Cyprinidae. The transcript is spliced from 3 exons.